CGUCUGAACCCUUCGGGGGGACGACGGUGGAAUGAGCGGCGGACGGGUGAGUAACACGUAAAGAACCUGCCCAUAGGUCUGGGAUAACCACGAGAAAUCGGGGCUAAUACCGGAUGUGUCAUCGGACCGCAUGGUCCGCUGAUGAAAGGCGCUCCGGCGUCGCCCAUGGAUGGCUUUGCGGUGCAUUAGCUAGUUGGUGGGGUAACGGCCCACCAAGGCGACGAUGCAUAGCCGACCUGAGAGGGUGAUCGGCCACACUGGGACUGAGACACGGCCCAGACUCCUACGGGAGGCAGCAGUAGGGAAUCUUCCACAAUGGACGAAAGUCUGAUGGAGCAACGCCGCGUGAACGAUGAAGGCUUUCGGGUCGUAAAGUUCUGUUGUAAGGGAAGAACAAGUGCCGCAGGCAAUGGCGGCACCUUGACGGUACCUUGCGAGAAAGCCACGGCUAACUACGUGCCAGCAGCCGCGGUAAUACGUAGGUGGCAAGCGUUGUCCGGAAUUAUUGGGCGUAAAGCGCGCGCAGGCGGCCUCUUAAGUCUGAUGUGAAAGCCCCCGGCUCAACCGGGGAGGGCCAUUGGAAACUGGGAGGCUUGAGUAUAGGAGAGAAGAGUGGAAUUCCACGUGUAGCGGUGAAAUGCGUAGAGAUGUGGAGGAACAC
Molecule: ribosomal RNA, 661 nt
Filed under: Exiguobacterium sp.
Lineage: Bacteria; Bacillati; Bacillota; Bacilli; Caryophanales
Description: bacterial SSU rRNA
Rfam family: Bacterial small subunit ribosomal RNA
Source: RNAcentral